GUAUUCUCUUCAGCAGCACACAUACUGAAUCGGAAACAAGACAGAGGGGAUUGAGUGUGGCCCCGACACAAGGACGGCAUGCAAAUUUGUGAAGCGUUCUGUAUUUUU
This is a small nuclear RNA of Arvicola amphibius (Eurasian water vole), 108 nucleotides long. NCBI's taxonomy places the organism in Eukaryota, Metazoa, Chordata, Mammalia, Rodentia, Cricetidae. The record is from RefSeq and is a predicted model, not a curated record.